RNAcentral lists this ribosomal RNA (253 nucleotides) under uncultured bacterium. Its description in RNAcentral is "partial 16S ribosomal RNA". It matches the Rfam family "Bacterial small subunit ribosomal RNA", at positions 524 to 776 of the family's 1533-position model. The record is from RNAcentral.
UACGAAGGGGGCUAGCGUUGUUCGGAUUUACUGGGCGUAAAGGGCUCGUAGGCGGUUUGUCGCGUCGGGAGUGAAAUCCACUGGCUUAACUGGUGGCUUGCUUUCGAUACGGGCAGACUGGAGGUAUGCAGGGGAGAACGGAAUUCCUGGUGUAGCGGUGAAAUGCGCAGAUAUCAGGAGGAACACCGGUGGCGAAGGCGGUUCUCUGGGCAUGUCCUGACGCUGAGGAGCGAAAGUGUGGGGAGCGAACAGG